UACGGAGGGAGCUAGCGUUGUUCGGAAUUACUGGGCGUAAAGCGCACGUAGGCGGCUAUUCAAGUCAGGGGUGAAAUCCCGGGGCUCGACCCCGGAACUGCCUCUGAAACUAGGUAGCUAGAAUCUUGGAGAGGUCAGUGGAAUUCCGAGUGUAGAGGUGAAAUUCGUAGAUAUUCGGAAGAACACCAGUGGCAAAGGCGACUGACUGGACAAGUAUUGACGCUGAGGUGCGAAAGCGUGGGGAGCAAACAGG
This 253-nucleotide ribosomal RNA is filed under the name uncultured bacterium. RNAcentral's name for it is "partial 16S ribosomal RNA". It matches the Rfam family "Bacterial small subunit ribosomal RNA", at positions 524 to 776 of the family's 1533-position model. The record is from RNAcentral.